RNAcentral lists this unclassified non-coding RNA (241 nucleotides) under Hevea brasiliensis (rubber tree). Lineage: Eukaryota; Viridiplantae; Streptophyta; Magnoliopsida; Malpighiales; Euphorbiaceae. The record is from RNAcentral.
AUUUGGAGGAUUUGGGCAACACAACUGGCCAGUGGGACUUGUAUGGAUCAGAUGCACCUUCACCAUACAACUCUCUUCAGAGCAAGUUUUUUGAGACAUUUGCUGCUCCAUUCACCAAGAGAGGUCUGUUGCUCAAAUUCUUGAUAUUGGGAGGUGGCUCUACCCUCGCCUACUUCAGUUCCACAGCAUCAGGGGAUAUCCUACCAAUCAAGAAAGGUCCACAACUUCCACCUAAGCUCGG